UAGAGCUUUUUGAUUAUGGCUAAUAACAUUUUCACUCUUGUUUACAGAUCCUGGUGGCUAAACAUCUGAUCUCUGAAUAAGGAGCUUAUGAAUAAUACUGAGACUUCUGGAACAUUAUCAGAAUUCUCAGGCCCCAGCCAGUCUCCAACUGAAAGUUUGAAGAGCUGGAAGUCAGGCCACCGUUUUGUCUCUGUGAGGGAAACCCACCUUUCAGGAAAGGCAGAGGGGAGCAACAACAGCAACAAGCAGUCCCUGAAUCAGACACCCUGGUCCAUCUUAUAUUGCCGUGUUUCACAGUGCAGGACAUCUCAGAAUCUAUGAAAUUCAGAGGGCUCUCUCAGCUCUGAGCCAGGACAAAGACUUUAGUUCAGACGGGUGUUGAAUUCACUCUGUUGCCCAGGCUGGCCUUGAACUCACAGGGAUCCGCCUGCCUCAGCCUCGCAGUGCUAUGAUGAGAGCAUGUGCCACCACACCCAGCAGUAGGCAGGCAGUUCUUUGUGCAGAUUGCAGGACGGGCCCAUGUAAGCACACAGUCCCUGCAGAUCUGUGACCUCAUGGGGGCCCAGAACCGAAACAGGCACAUCGUCACCCUACCUGGAGCCUCAAGCACCAUCUCCACACAGCACCCGGUCUUGGGACCUGACAGAGAUCCUCAGUGUCUAACAGUGAGUGAGUCAGGCACAAUUUACGGCCCUGAGUUUCCCAAGAGAAGCUGUGGCUCAGAACACUUGACAGCCCCCCACCUGUCCCUCUUCAUAGCUCUUUGGUCCUACUGUAGCCAUUCGUUUUCAGCUAUUCGACGACAAGCCCAGGAGAAAAUCUACCCACGAAACAAAAUAAAAUUUCACUAUCCAUGGGAACAUCAUAGCCACCUCAUCAUUUCUGCCUUACUCAGGAAAACCUAGGAGCUACAGAAAAGGGGACAGCCAUGCAGAUCUCUCCCCACUGGGUCCCGAGGACUGCGCCCAACCUCCUGAAAGUAUCCUGUCAGUAGUACUACCCUAACUCAGCGCAGCGUGCCACAGGGCCCCAGGCACGAGUGACGGGCUGCCGGGCAUUGCUGCAAAGUGGCCUCUUGAUCUCCACCAGGGAGGUGUCCUGGCCUGCCGCAGUGCCAGUCAGGACCUGACUCCACCUCCCAAACCACAGGCCAUUAUGACGAGGCACCUUUUCCUUUUGCACAAGGAAAGCAGGCCUGGAAGGGCUUGGCUGGGCUCCACCACGGGCCCUAACCUCUCACAAGCCACAGACUGCUCCACCCGCAGACCUGGAAUGACUGAGAGGGUCAGCAGACCAGUCUGGACCUGGAAUUAUUUGGUCCAGAACACACAAAGUCUUGUCUGUAGUGGCAACCAGAGGAAAAGAACCCUUUCUCCUGGGAGCACAGGGCUAGCUGAAGUGAGAGCUCAAGUAAGGGUAGUUACAUUCCUUGAGCAAAAACACUACAAGUGUCCAACCAGAGGGGCCAGUGACGGGCCUUCUACUGUAAGAGUGGUAGCCUUAGGGUACAAACUGAGUGGAUUCAUAUGAGGAAGCUUUAAGCUGUUGCAAGUAAAUAAACAAGAGAGCAGACCUUUUGGAACUUUAUGUAAAAUAUAUAUGUGAGUAGAAAGAAAAGAAUUUCAAGAAAUAACAAAAUGUCAGUGGUGAUCUCUAGCCAGUAUGGCAGGGCUGUAGAUUUUCUUCCUUGUGCCUGUAUUAGGGUUUAACCAAAGAAAGAGUCCACAGAAGAUACACUUUAAGAGAUUUGUUGCCAGGCAUUGCUUUAUGCCAUUUGGAGACUGGUGGGGCAAGUGGGAGAUGCGGGCUGACUAGACUUCUUCGUCUUCAGCCUCUCGGUGGAGUAAACCAGGUCUACCCAGUUUACCUAGGAUAACCUCCUAUACUUAAAAUCAGCUGAUUAUGCGCAGUAAUCACACCCACAAAAUACUUCUCACAACACCUAAAUCAGGGUGUCCUUGAUAACUAGGAGGUAUUAGACUAGUUGUUACGGCGUGGAUGGAGACUGUCCCCCAAAGGCCUCGUGUGCCCACAGGCGGGUCUUUCGGAAGGCAGCUGAGUCAUGGGAGCUGUUGGGAGGUUGGCUCUGGUCAGAAGAGGCAGGUCACUGGGGGCGUGACCUGGAAGGGUCUGUCUCCCUCCCUGGGUCAGCUGUUCUCUCUGCUUCCUGGCCUCCGUGAUGUGAGGAGCGUUUCUCUACCUGGGCCCUUCCACCGUGCUACUUUUGUCUGAAGCCAGCUGACCAUGCAGGGACUGAGACUUCUGAAAACAUGAGCCAAAAUAAACUUUUCCUCCUCCUCCUCUCGGUAUUGGGUAUUUUAUCUGAGCAACAAAGACAGUGACUAAUGCAGCUUCUGAUACCAGAGAAGUAGGAUCAUUGCAAGAACUAUACCUGAAUGUGGUCUGUUUAUUUAUUUAUAUAUUUUG
Molecule: long non-coding RNA, 2427 nt
Organism: Fukomys damarensis (Damara mole-rat)
Lineage: Eukaryota; Metazoa; Chordata; Mammalia; Rodentia; Bathyergidae
Exons: 3
Source: RefSeq, a predicted model, not a curated record